AUUUUCAAGAAUUCUUUUAGAAUCUUGUUUUAUCAUACUAUAUUCGAGUUGUGUACUAAUCAUGUCACAUAUCUGUGUUUUGGUUCUACACAAUUUUGAGACGCAUUUAUUCUGCGUAUGAAUAAUAAUUAACUUCAGCUUGGGAACAGUAACUAACACACACACACACACACACACACACACACACACACACACACACACACACACACACACAGGUGUGUGUGAGGAGCAAUGUUUUAUCUUAGGAUUUUUAUUAUUCCCCCCUUUAAUGGGGUGUGGUCCAGCUGAAUGAAUAAAGAACCUUAGAUUUCUCUCUUGCUGUAUUGCUAUAAAUUUCCGGUAUUUAAAUCAUUCCCGGGGGCUUUUAAGAUAAGUAAGCAUGACAUGACUACAUGUUUAUCUGUGGGGUUGUGUGUAUUGUCAGGUCUGAUUUGUGGAUUCUGAUGACUACAAAAUUCAGUGAUAUUACAAUUUGGGUUUCUAUUUUCUAAAGCACAUAACUCCACCUGACCACUUGAAGGAAUACAAUCAAUGAUUUGUGAAACAUUUCAUUGUCUGUAUUUAUUUGUAUAUAAAAUAUAGAACAUAUAUUACAUUGAAAUUGUAAUACCAUGAUAAUUUGAUCGAUAGACCUAUAGCUGAUGGAAUUGGUAAGCUAUCUUUCUGUCAACUUUUUCAUUAUCUUUCAUCAACCCUGACCUUAGGUGGAGUUCUGCCGCAGUCAGCCAGUUUCCUUUUGGCCUAGAUAGUUUCCCCUCCCCAAGAGCGGUCGACCAACAAAGAUCACUCCAAGAGUAAAACAUAUAAUAGUCCAUGUCAUCAUAAAGGAACCCAGGGUAGUUUCUAAGCAAGUAAAGGCCUCUCUCACAUUGUCUAGUGUUCAUGAGUCCACCAUCAGGAGAACACUGAACAGCAAUGGUGUGUAUGGCAGGGCUGCAAGGAGAAAGCCUCUGCUCUCCAAAAAGAACAUUGCUGUCCCUCUGCAGUCUGAUAAAGAUCACAUGCACAAGCCCGAAGGCUAUUGGAAAAAUGUUUUUGAAAAAGAAAACUUUUUGCUUUAAAUGAGAAGCAGACAGGAAGUGGGUCAUUCAAGACAAUGACCCUAAGUACACAAGUCAUUCUACCAAAGAAUAAAGUUAAUGUUUUGGAAUGGCCAAGUCAAAGUCCUGACCUUAAUCCAAUAGAAAUGUUGUGGAAGGAUCUGAAGCAAGCAGUUCAUGUGAGGAAACCCAGCAACAUCCCAGAGUUGAAACUGUUCUGUACUGAGGAACGGGCUAAAAUUCCUCCAAGCUGAUCAAUAGUUACUGGAAACAUUUAGUUGCAGUUAUUGCUGCACAGUUAUUAUUGAAAGCAAAGGUUCACCUACUUUUGCCACUCACAAAUAUGUAAUAUUAGAUAAUUUUCCUCAAUAAAUAAAUGAUCGAUAUAAUAUUUUUGUCUGAUUUGU
Molecule: long non-coding RNA, 1447 nt
Organism: Ictalurus punctatus (channel catfish)
Lineage: Eukaryota; Metazoa; Chordata; Actinopteri; Siluriformes; Ictaluridae
Source: Ensembl